GGUCAAGCGAACAAGGGCGCAGGGCGAAUGCCUUGGCACUGGGAGCCGAUGAAAGACGUGAUAAGCUGCGAUAAGCUUCGGGGAGCUGCAAAUAAGCAUUGAUCCGGAGAUCUCUGAAUGAGGAAACUCACCUGGGUUCAUACUCAGGUACAAUACACUGAAAUUCAAAAUAGGUGUAUUGAGGGAACCGCCUGAACUGAAACAUCUAAGUAGGGCGAGGAAGAGACAUCAAACGAGAUUCCGUAAGUAGUGGCGAGCGAACGCGGAAGAGGGCAAACCGAGAGUAGAAAUACUUUCGGGGUACGGACUGCUUUUAAGACUCAAUCUGUUAACCGAACGGCAUGGGAAGGCCGGUCAGAGAGUGUGAGAACCACGUAGGUGAAAACGGAGAGAGCUGCGCAGGAUCCAGAGUACGGCCAGACACGUGAAACCUGGUCGGAAUACGGGGGGACCACCCUCCAACCCUAAAUACUACCCAGUGACCGAUAGCGUAUAGUACUGUGAAGGAAAGGUGAAAAGCACCCCGGGAGGGGAGUGAAAAAGAACCUGAAACCCUGUGCCUACAAGCACCUAGAGCGCGUCAAAGCGUGAUAGGGUACUUUUUGUAGAACGGUCCGGCGAGCGAUUGUAUGCAGCAAGGUUAAGGACUUAAGGUCUGGAGCCGAAGCGAAAGCGAGUUUGAAAAGGGCGUUAAGUUGCAUAUAAUGGGCCCGAAACCGGGUGACCUACCCAUGGUCAGGUUGAAGUGGAAGUAAAAUUCCAUGGAGGACCGAACCGACCUCCGUUGAAAAGGCGGCGGAUGAACUGUGGGUAGCGGAGAAAUUCCAAUCGAACCCGGAGAUAGCUGGUUCUCCCCGAAAUAGUUUUAGGACUAGCCUCAAGUUAGAUACCUGGAGGUAAAGCACUGAAUAGCCUAGCGGCCGAGAGGUUAGCGAAGCUUAUCAAACUCAGAAUGCCAGAGUAUUGAUGCUUGGGAGUCAGACAGUGUCAGAUAAAUGUCAUUGUCAAAAGGGAAACAGCCCAGAUCUACAGCUAAGGUCCCAAAGUCAGGUUAAGUGGAAAACGAUGUGAAGAUACGCAGACAACCAGGAUGUUGGCUCAGAAGCAGCCACUCAUUCAAAGAGUGCGUAAUAGCUCACUGGUCGAGCGUCUUUGCGCGGAGAAUUUAACGGGGCUAAACCUGACACCGAAGCUUAGGCAAUACAGCAAUGUAUUGGGUAGGGGAGCGUUGUAUACGCGGAGAAACAGUAGCGCAAGCGGCUGUGGAGUGUAUAGAAGUGAGAAUGCCGGAAUGAGUAGCGCGAAUGCAGUGAGAAUCUGCAUGGCCGAAAGCCUCAGGUUUCUGGAGGAAGGUUCGUCCGCUCCAGGUUAGUCGGGAGCUAAGGUGAGGCCGGAAGGCGUAGCCGAUGCACAGACGGUAGAGAUUCCGUCACCACCAAAAGAGUUAAGCACAGGGACACAUAUGAAGUCUCAGAGCCGGGUGUUGGUUCCGGUAGAGAUCGAGGGAAAUUAGUACCGAAGUCUGAGAUGGAAGAUGGCGAGAAAAGCUGUGUGUAUUUCUGAGGUGCCCGUACCGCAAACCGACACAGGUAGGUAGGAAGAAGAUUCUAAGGCCAACGGGAGAAGGGUUGUUAAGGAACUCGGCAAAUUGACCCCGUAACUUCGGGAGAAGGGGUGCUCCAGAGAUGGAGCCGCAGAGAAUCGGCCCAAGCAACUGUUUACCAAAAACACAGGUUUGUGCUAAAUCGAAAGAUGACGUAUACGAGCUGACGCCUGCCCGGUGCUGGAAGGUUAAGAGGAGAUGUGCAAGCAUUGAAUCGAAGCCCCAGUGAACGGCGGCCGUAACUAUAACGGUCCUAAGGUAGCGAAAUUCCUUGUCAGGUAAGUUCUGACCCGCAUGAAAGGCGUAAUGAUUUGGGCACUGUCUCAACAGCCCGCCCGGCGAAAUUGUAGUACCGGUGAAGAUGCCGGUUACCCGCGACAAGACGGAAAGACCCCAUGGAGCUUUACUGUAGCCUAAUAUUGGGUUUCGAUGUUGCAUGCACAGGAUAGAUGGGACUCU
This 2062-nucleotide ribosomal RNA is filed under the name Faecalibacterium duncaniae. RNAcentral describes it as "partial 23S ribosomal RNA". It matches the Rfam family "Bacterial large subunit ribosomal RNA", at positions 1 to 2156 of the family's 2925-position model. The record is from RNAcentral. Lineage: Bacteria; Bacillati; Bacillota; Clostridia; Eubacteriales; Oscillospiraceae. RNAcentral also lists the same sequence under 1 other name.